CGCUGGCGGCGUGCCUAACACAUGCAAGUCGAGCGAAUGAAGUUCCUUCGGGAACGGAUUUAGCGGCGGACGGGUGAGUAACACGUGGGCAACCUGCCUCAUAGAGGGGAAUAGCCUUCCGAAAGGGAGAUUAAUACCGCAUAAGAUUGUAGUACCGCAUGGUACAGCAAUUAAAGGAGCAAUCCGCUAUGAGAUGGGCCCGCGGCGCAUUAGCUAGUUGGUGAGGUAACGGCUCACCAAGGCGACGAUGCGUAGCCGACCUGAGAGGGUGAUCGGCCACAUUGGGACUGAGACACGGCCCAGACUCCUACGGGAGGCAGCAGUGGGGAAUAUUGCACAAUGGGGGAAACCCUGAUGCAGCAACGCCGCGUGAGUGAUGACGGCCUUCGGGUUGUAAAGCUCUGUCUUCAGGGACGAUAAUGACGGUACCUGAGGAGGAAGCCACGGCUAACUACGUG
Molecule: ribosomal RNA, 458 nt
Filed under: uncultured bacterium
Lineage: Bacteria
Description: bacterial SSU rRNA
Rfam family: Bacterial small subunit ribosomal RNA
Source: RNAcentral